Aethina tumida (small hive beetle) is the source of this 492-nucleotide long non-coding RNA. RefSeq lists it as uncharacterized. The record is from RefSeq and is a predicted model, not a curated record. The transcript is spliced from 2 exons. NCBI's taxonomy places the organism in Eukaryota, Metazoa, Arthropoda, Insecta, Coleoptera, Nitidulidae.
UCACAAUAUUAUUUUCUAAUUGCUGCUUGAAAAUAAUCAUGUAAUUAAAUUUACUUGUAUUAUGAACAUUUUAUACGUUCCGGAAUAUUUUUUAUGCCGUUUAAUCACGCCAUACCUCGAGUUGCAUAUUUUGUUAUCCUCAUAUCACAUUGUCAAGCAGUAUAAAUACCUUCAGCCAAUCCUUAUUUCAAACUACAAAAUGAAGUUCAUAGUUGUUUGUGCCAUCUUCCUGUGCCCCAUUUACGCAUCAGUAUGCCUGAAAAAUGUUUGCUCCACCAUUGAUUGCAGCAACGAACCUUGUUCGUGUGAAGAGGGACAAGUUUUAUCUAAAGGAUAUUGUGGCUGCUGUAACAUAUGUGUUACACUUUUAAAAGAAGGACAGUUUUGCCUACUUUUAGGAAUUGGAGAUCCACCGCCACGUGCUCAAUGUGGUCCAGGAUUGAAAUGUGUGAAAAAUAGAUGUCAAAAAAUUUAAUAAUAUUGUAAUAAUAU